RNAcentral lists this ribosomal RNA (500 nucleotides) under uncultured bacterium. RNAcentral's name for it is "partial 16S ribosomal RNA". It matches the Rfam family "Bacterial small subunit ribosomal RNA", at positions 30 to 523 of the family's 1533-position model. The record is from RNAcentral.
AUUGAACGCUGGCGGCAUGCCUUACACAUGCAAGUCGAACGGCAGCACGGGAGCAAUCCUGGUGGCGAGUGGCGAACGGGUGAGUAAUAUAUCGGAACGUGCCCAGUCGUGGGGGAUAACGCAGCGAAAGCUGUGCUAAUACCGCAUACGAUCUAUGGAUGAAAGCGGGGGAUCGCAAGACCUCGCGCGAUUGGAGCGGCCGAUAUCAAAUUAGCUAGUUGGUGGGGUAAAGGCCCACCAAGGCGACGAUCUGUAGCUGGUCUGAGAGGACGACCAGCCACACUGGAACUGGGCCACGGUCCAGACUCCUACGGGAGGCAGCAGUGGGGAAUUUUGGACAAUGGGCGCAAGCCUGAUCCAGCAAUGCCGCGUGCAGGAUGAAGGCCUUCGGGUUGUAAACUGCUUUUGUACGGAACGAAACGGUCCUUUCUAAUACAGGGGGCUAAUGACGGUACCGUAAGAAUAAGCACCGGCUAACUACGUGCCAGCAGCCGCAGUAA